This is a non-coding RNA of Pelodiscus sinensis (Chinese soft-shelled turtle), 7363 nucleotides long. Lineage: Eukaryota; Metazoa; Chordata; Testudines; Trionychidae. The record is from RefSeq and is a predicted model, not a curated record.
UAAACAGUUUUUUUAGACAAUGUUUUUCUUUUUCUGUGUUCAUUAUUUGUGAAAUGUGUCACAAAUAAUGGAGUUGGAGUAGUCCCUUAUUUCUCUGUUCCUUCAAUACAUUGGGUAAAAUAUUUACCUACCUUCCAAAAAUGCUCUGAAAUUAAAAGGUCAUUUAAAAAAGCUUAGAUAUCCUUGGUGAGUUGUGCUAUAUAACAAGCAUCUGACAGCCUUGAUGAGCAAAACUAUUUAUCCACAGAACACAUACAAAGGAAGACUGUUUCACCCUAAAUACCUCAAAGUUUAUUAAUUUGAUUUGGAGCAGCCACGUCUAGAAACGAGAUGGCUGCUGAGGCGCCACGUCCUUGACCUUUUCACUGAAACUUCCAAUAAAGGCAUGAAACUGAGCCUAAUGUUUUGUGGUAUGGACUUUGUCCACGAAGACUUAUACCGACAACUCUCAUCAUUUGCGAAUCUUUUGGGUGCAGGUUUGAACUAGUGGUUAAAGAGAGGACCAUUCAAAUAAUUAUUUUUAUGCUUAACAUAUCUGAACUUUCAAGAGAGUAAAAACCUGAAGCAUGUUUCUUAGGAUUACUUUUGCUCAAUAACUGACAUAUUCAACUAAACAAAAGUAAUAAAAUGCAUUUUGUUGCCCUCUAUACAUUCAUCCUCAAAUGGUCUGCGUUGCGAAAGAACUACAGAAGAACUGCAAAUGUAACUUGCCAACAAUAGGAGUUUUUUCUGUACUGUAUGAGCUGCCUUAGGACUUCACUGGCAUCUUGGAAAAUCAUGAGUUGAUUGACAGCUGUUACCACCAUCAGAUGUAUCAUUAUUUAUGUGCCCAGACUCAAUUGUGAUAGAGUCCAAAAGCCCAAGUCAGGCCCAUAGUGCUGGCCACUAUACAAACACAGAUGAAAGGAUGCUCUCCACCCCUCAGAGAUUACAACCUAUAGGACUCAACUGCUACUACCAUUUAAUGCUACAGCUUAUGAAAGGACUGCUUUUUCCUGGGCACCCACAAGACAAGAAAACACCAGGGAUAUGCCUUAAAUUGGUUUUACAAUUUUAUAAAUAAACAAAUCUAAGAACUGUCUGGCACUAGUUUGUCUAAUUCAGGUCAUCCUGCCUUAGUAUUCUAUUCCAUCUGUUCCCAGUAAUCUGAUUUCAGCAUCACUGGUGGGAUUCUGCCUUUGUAUGAGGACUAAGAUAUGGUGAAGAGGGUGCUGUUUCCUCACUGUCCCAGACAUUAGGAACCCCAACCUCACUUUAUUUCAAUGCCUUCUUCUAAUUUGUUUCCAAUUACGAUUUAUCAAGGAACUGGAGAUCCUAACUGAAUGAUUACUUGCAUGGGGCAUGUGACAACUUGUAAUGAAAUUAAUUUUAUAAUCGAACCCACCCACCUGGUCUCCAAGCUGCUGAGAGGAAGGUGAAAAACCCUCACCUUACCCAGGCCAAUGUGGUAGUAAGGGAAAAAUUCCUUCUCAGCCUCCAAAAAGAGACUAGCACCCAAAGCAAAACCCAGAAACGUAGCCUACUCUAAUCCUAAUAGGAGGGAGAGGGGAAGUUUUACUUCUAGUGCAGACUGGUGCCCCAGGACAGGGGGAAAGGCUUUUAAACCCUCUACUGAGGUACAUGGGUGUGAAUAGAUUUAUCCUGCACUCAUCUGCCAAACCAGUUAAAUCAACAGAACCCCCAUCCUUUAGACCACAAGGACGGAGGGUUAUGUGGAAUCCUUAAAAGGGUCAAGGGUUUUCUUUCUCCUGCUGGCCCAGACUAAGCUGCUCCACCUCUGAGGCUGUAGGGGGAAGCAUUUAUGGAGUCCAAGAUUACCAAGCUGCUUAGGAUCAUAUGAAUUUUUCCCCGAUCCAUAGCACAGAAUAUUAGUGCUAGUAGUUACACUGCUUAUAGGAGAGCCUCUUUCAGCUUAAUAUUAGAACUACUUGGACAAGGAGGUUAUUUACCUGUAAAUGGAGGUUCUUUGAGAUUUGUAGUUCCUGUCUGUAGGCCACUUAGGAUUUUAUGCACAUGUACCCUAUGUCUGGAGUUGGAGAGUUUAAAAGUCCAUGCAUACUUCUUGACUCAACUCAUGUUUUCAUCCAACAUAAAGGCUGGGACAGACUGUAUCUCCAAUUCCUUCACCACUACAAAUCCAACAGAUUUGCAGCAGAAUGGAGGAGUGCAGGAAACAGAAUACAGAUAGAAGAAUCUCUAGUUACAUCUUGAGGAACCUCUCAUUGCAUAAAGACUACUGCUUGAAGAAACCUUAUUUUGAAAGAUGUAUUGUGGACUUCUAGAUUGUAGGGUCCAGAAAACACAUAAAAGCAAAGACCAUGUGGUAUCCAGAGAAGUUACAACAACUGAUGCACUGGCCUCCCUUGCCCACAAAACUGAUAAGGAGGAAGUAGAGUGAUCCUUAAUUAACUCAUGAACAGACAUUUGUUUAGCCACAUAGGUCUUCAAAAUGCACUCUGAAAUCCACCUAGAUGAAGAACACAGCUUUUGGCAGCUUGUAUCUUUCGAGUAAAACAAUGUCAAUCAGAGACAAUAGUGUCAAAGUAAAUUUUAUUUUCCUCUUAAAAUCUGUUUUAAGUAGGCUUCUGACCAUACAGUGAGUUAACAUGCUAUCUUCUCAUUUAGGCGGAAAGAAACAACUUUGUGGAAAAAUGAAGGAAUUGUGUGUUUACAUUUUCUAAGGACAAGUUAGGACUGUAAAGAACAGAGCACCACAUAAUUUGAACAUUAUGAUGUAGAGCAAAAAAUCUAGCCUUCAUGAAAAUGAAAUAUUCUGAGACUUCUAAAAAGUUAAUUUAGAGCAGUUAGCCCCACCAAGAAUGUAAUUAUAUAUGGAUGGGAAACCAUCAGUAUUCAUGACAUCUCAGAUUCUAAGUCUGGACUUCAGGAAACUUUAUGGCAGUCUAUUAGUCUGCUAUUCAGGUCAGAGUUCUAGAAUACUGGCAGGUGAAGCACCAAGAAAAUUAACUUUUUGCAUAUUAUCCUAUGCAGAGAACACACAUCAUAUUCUCUAGUAAGAUGAAGUUGCAUUUUUAUCUUUGAGGAUAUUACGUGAUCCUGGAGAAUCUCUCUUCGUUUAUAAUAUUUAGCAGUUAUGUCUUGAGUUAAAUCAAUACUGGGCUGGGAUAGCACAAUAGGACCUGAAGACUGUGUCCUAGUAAGAGAGUGAACAGAAUCAUUAUCCAGAUGAACACUGAAUUUCAAGACCUACAUAGCCAGUGAAGAAAUAACAAUGUUUACCUUCCAUCCACUUUACUUUUUGUAAUGCCACUAGUUCAAUCUUGGAGAAAAUAUAUAAAUUAAGUGAAAACUCACUUAAAGGACUCAAUGCUUCUUUUCUGUUAUACUUUUACCCCAUAUACUCACUGAAAGACCUGGGGGCUUCACAGUCAAGACAUACUGGCUUAGAUCACAUUAAAAUAUCAAUACUGAGAUCAAAUUCAGAAUUAUGGAUUCCCUGUAAUGUCCAUGAUACUAGAGCACAGAUGAUCUAAUUUUUAAUCAAAGCGUUUCAUGACAGUUGGAAGUAUCAUAUAACCUACCACUAAGAAAAUACAGGGGGACUGGAUGCUCUGGAAGACUAUGAUGAGUGACAUAGAUCAAAUUAGAGUGUGACCUAGAAGUACAAAAUGAAGUCAAAUCAGAUCAGUAACUGAAGGUUAUUACCACCUGAAGACUGUUCAGUGACAUAUGAUGAAGGGCCAGAAGACUGCUUCAUUUAGGCUUUGUCUGCAUUAAACAGUUUUUAGCAUCAUGUGUCAAUACAAAGGUAGUCUGUCCAUUCUCCUGUUGACAAAUACCCAUGCCCCAAAAUUAUCUUAUUUUGCUUGUUUCAGCAAAGAAUGCAAAGUUUCAAUUGAUGGGGAGACUUAUGCUCUCUCAAUUAAAGGGAGGCCCUUCCAGAUUAGUCAGUUCUAAGGCACAUUAGCAAUGAUAUGAGGAAGCUACACAAUAAUCCAUUGUGUAGCUUCCUCAUAUCACAUUGCCACAGGUGGCUCCGCUGAAAACAUACAUCACAGAAAUUCAUUUCAGAUUCAUGUCCAAAGAAUGGACACUCCUAAUGUUGAACGUCUUUCCAAGAAAAAGGCAGAGCCUACAAGGAUGUGUUUACAUCAACGUAAUCAUCAACUUGUUAUUUUCCAGUUGGCUCCUCUCUCAUAUUGUAACCAUGUAAAUAUGUUCCUAUCAUAUUGAUGGACAUCUUACUCUAUAAAAGUAGCCUGCUGGUCACAAAGUAUGAUGAUCGAUAUGUCUUCACUAUGCAGAGAAAAUUCCAUUUUUAAUUAGCCACUGUAGCUGCUUCAAAGGAAUAACUCCAUUUGCUCAAGUCUCACAUUUGACCACUAGAACCAAUAGAAAAAAUUGUAGGUCUGUGAGAAUUAGGGUGACUGGAGACUGGUAACUCCUGUGAAAGGUUUCCUAUGAAUUCAGAACACAAUAUACUUUUUUCUGAAGGGAACACAUUUCAUUCAAUCAUACAUUUAAUUUGGACCCAGUGCGAAAUGAUCUAUGACUUCUAUGUCAAAGAUUUUGUUGUGGGUCCUUAAUGGUCAGAAUCUUAAUCAACUCUGGUGACUUGAAAACCUAAUAAAUUGCAUAAUUCUUGAAACUUUUUUUAAUUAUCUCCAGUACGCAUUUGUCCAAUGUCCUUGCAAACUUUUAUGAUAAUGACCCUUUGUCAUUUGUGUGAAAGGAUGAAUUAGCUGGAUACGGUGCCUCCAAAUAAAGCAAAAGGAACUCUAGAUUAAGAAGUAGAAGAUUUUGUGAGACUGAAACCAUAGUCUGAUCCCAAAUACCUAGAAACCAAGUUUACUGUCUUGACCAGUAGAAUUACAGAACCGUUUUUAAAUAAUCCUGUACAGUGGUAAAAAGUUAUUUUUGGUAUAGCUUCAAGGCCUUACUAAAGUAUAAAAGGUAAAGUAAACAUGCACAUUCAUGUGGAAAUCAAGAAAAAAUAAAUCUGAAGAACUUAUAUGUAUAUACGUACAGAUAUGUUGGAGAAAUUAUUGCAAAAAUAUGGAUCCACAUGUAAACAGAGGGGCUUUUGAACCACAGCUUGUCUAUAUGGGAAAGUUUACUGGCAGAACUACACCAGUAUAAUUAGAUGGCUGUAUUUAUUGAUACUUAGCAUAGUUUACACCAUUACAGUUAUAACAAUUUACCAUAUACCACUUUCACAGUAAUAAAGUAAACUGGAAAAAGGCAUUCUUAUUCCAGAAUAAGAAUGUACACCUGAGGGGUUAUAUUGGUAUAAUUAUAGCAGUAUAACUGUAACAACAUAGUUCUGUCAGUAAAUUUCCCUAUGUAGACAAGCAUGAAGUGUAUAUGGUACCUAGUUUCUGCUGUUCCCCUGCGGACCUAUGAAUGUUAGUGUGCACCUAGCAUCUGCAGCAAUUCUUCUACUGCAAAUUAUUAAGGUCUACUGAAGGCCACUACAGGCCAGGAACAUGAGCUAACAAUUCUUCAGAAACUUUGGCUGAAAAGUCAGUACAUAUAUAGCAUGCUACAUCUGAGGAGAAAAAUAAUUUUUAACUGUAUACAUGAAGCAGAGUUAGCGUGUUGAACUCAAACUGCAACUUUCUAUUUCAAAAUAGUAUCUGUGACUGCAAAACAGUUGAAACUACUGAUAUGCUGCUGCUAAUUCCCUGUUUUUCCAUUAAGACUCCAGUCCCCAUAAUUCUCACAAAAGAUUCCUGACAGAUGAAGAGUGAUGAAUGAAACUUUUUUCAAGUUUCGAAAGAGAACUUAUUUACGGUACAUACAACUAGAACAAAUAGAGGUUAUUGUUCGGUACUGACAGCACAAUAAAUUUUGAAUAUGCUGGUAGAUAAACUGCUCCCAGGAGAUUAAAGUCUCCUUCUAACACACUUUAGACCUGUAUAUCACAGUGGAUGACAUAAGGUUGAAAGACUAUUUCUUGCAGCAUUCAUUCCUCCAAAGUUUUGUAAAAAAAGUAUGAUUAGGAAAGAUUUCUGGAGGAGGAAAAAGAUGUUUGUCAGAUGUGAGGAACGUUGUUCCAAGAAUAAGGAACAGGAUGGAAGAGGGCAUGAAGAUGACAGGAGAAAGAUUAGGAGUCUCUUAAGUAGCAAGACUCAGGAAGAAUUGUACAAUACGAUUUAAUACUCUCUCUACAUAUAUGUGGAGUAAAGUUUUAUAGGGCUUUGGAACGUGAAGAAGGGGAGAAGCAGAUUGAAUUUGCAACUGAUGCUGAGAGGAUGCCAGCAAAAGGCUAGCUGUGACAAAAGAUGACCAAGAGAUAGAGGAAGAUUUUUCACAAUAGGGAUGAAAAAGAAAGGAGAGAUUUUAGAGAAGCUUCAAAACAGCCACAAACAGGAUUUAAAAGCAACAGUAGCAUAGGAGGUGGAAUAAUAAAUGAUGUCACAGAAGCUUAUGGUGAUAGAAAAGGGAAGGGCAAAAGAACCGCUAGGAGAAUUUUUUUUUCAGGUGGAGCUUGGUAUAAUGGUAGGACAUCCAGGAGAAGACAUCUGAAGGAGUCAGACGUGUAAAAGCAGCAGCACUGUGAUGGCAGCUGAAACAAAAAGAGCGGAUAAAGUCAUCUCAUGACAGAAGAGGCAAAGGAAAGAAUUAAAACUAGAAGCUCAAGAAAUAUCACUGAGAAAGGGCAAUAAAAGGAGAUGCAGAAGAAGCUGCUGAAAAGGGGAAAAACCAAGAUAGCACAAAAGAUAUUAAAAAUAUAUAGAGGCAAAAAGCUAAUGGAGUAGAAGGAAAUAAUCAUAUUAGUCAUAAGCAAUGGCUCAGAAGGAUCUCAGACGCAUCCAGAAGUGACUGAAGAUUGUUGGUGUCCUUAGAGAGGUUUCAGUGGAGCGUACAGAAGACAGAUUGCAACAGAUCCAUUCAAGGCAUUAGAGGACAGGAAGUUGAGGACACACUUUAAGAAGGCAUAGAGGUAGGUGAAGGGUAACUGUUUCCCUGUUGUAGAAAACUCAUGAAACCACAUGAAAUCCUUGGCACCAAUCCCCUACCCCUGGCAAUGAAGUCAUCAGAAAACUGACUGGGUCUUCAUCUGUGCAGGCUGAAUAUCGCAUAACCCUAUUGUCUGGAACAAUAUGGAAGGUAGCUAGAGGAAAUAAAAUUCACAGAAAAAUGUAAACAAUCUGUCAGUGACUAUAUAUAUGUAUGUAUAUAUAUUUAUCUAUCAAGAAACAGACUCUUUAUACAAUACCCAUACGACAGCAUUAUAAUUUAUAAAUAAUUCACAGGUUAUAACUCAUGUGACAACAUUAUGUUGUAGGAAAGCAUAGGUUUUACAACACCUACACACAAGAGAGCAUCAUUAAAGUUGCUAUAGUUAAUCCUUAGAAUCACAGAAUACUGGGACUGGAAGGGACCUCAAGAGGUCAUC